UAGAACUACGUUUUACUAUCAGACCCAAAGUGUUACUGAGGGGAAUCUACAGCGUCUUGAGCUGAAUUAAGACUUCAGAAGUCAUUCGUCAUGUUGAAUGACCAGCGGAUAAACUCUCAGGUGAAGAGCCUGAGGCCGGUGACAGUCCAGUUCUACUCUAAGUCGGGGCUCGCAAAAUUUCAAAAUCUCUGGUAGCCCUUCGGGUAGGCACUCUUCAGUUUUUGGUAGCCCAAAAUAAAUGUGAAGAGCCUGAGGCCGGUGACAGUCCAGUUCUACUCUAAGUCGGGGCUCGCAAAAUUUCAAAAUCUCUGGUAGCCCUUCGGGUGAAAAGCCUGAGGCCGGUGACAGUCCAGUUCUACUCCAAGUACAUCCUUACGGUGGCUCACGGGACAAGGCUACAUUCCUGUCCUGCCAGAAGAGAAGAGAAACUUCAGAGUCUUCAUGCAGUUCAACCACACCUGUCAUAUUCCGUAUGACAGGGGUCUCAAACUCCAGUCCUCGAGGGCCGGUGUCAUGCAACUUUUCCAUGUGUCCCUGGUGCAACACACCUGAAUACAAUUAGUAGGUCAUUAGCAAGAGUGUAGAACUUGACUGCAUGCUGAGGUGGCAACCCCUAACCCUACCUACUCGAUUAAAUUUAAGUAAAUAUAUGUAUUUGGAAACAUAUACUUCUAAAAUACUUUUAUUGCACCAUGUUCAUUCACUCAUGAGCUGCUGUAACGUGAAUCAAAUGGCUGAAUUGCCAACUCGGCAUGCAUUCAAGUUCUAUACUCUUGCUAAUGACCUACUAGGUGUGUUGCAACAGGGACACAUGGAAAAGUUGCAGGACAGCGGCCCUCGAGCGGCCCUCGAGGACUGGAGUUUGAGAUGGUGUUCAUGCAGUUUUCUACCCCACAGUUACAGCAUGUCUGACUGCCUGUUCAGCAUAUGGAAAAAUAUAUGAUGAGUUUAAGCAUGUGAUGACAAAGGCCUUCCAUUGUGGUGUUUGUCAUCACAUGUCACAGACAUCUGGAUGAUCAUAU
Molecule: long non-coding RNA, 1022 nt
Organism: Pelmatolapia mariae (spotted tilapia)
Lineage: Eukaryota; Metazoa; Chordata; Actinopteri; Cichliformes; Cichlidae
Exons: 4
Source: RefSeq, a predicted model, not a curated record